This 1275-nucleotide ribosomal RNA is filed under the name Azotobacter chroococcum. Its description in RNAcentral is "bacterial SSU rRNA". It matches the Rfam family "Bacterial small subunit ribosomal RNA", at positions 106 to 1368 of the family's 1533-position model. Lineage: Bacteria; Pseudomonadati; Pseudomonadota; Gammaproteobacteria; Pseudomonadales; Pseudomonadaceae. The record is from RNAcentral.
GUGAGUAACACGUGGGUAACCUGCCUGUAAGACUGGGAUAACUCCGGGAAACCGGGGCUAAUACCGGAUGGUUGUUUGAACCGCAUGGUUCAAACAUAAAAGGUGGCUUCGGCUACCACUUACAGAUGGACCCGCGGCGCAUUAGCUAGUUGGUGAGGUAACGGCUCACCAAGGCAACGAUGCGUAGCCGACCUGAGAGGGUGAUCGGCCACACUGGGACUGAGACACGGCCCAGACUCCUACGGGAGGCAGCAGUAGGGAAUCUUCCGCAAUGGACGAAAGUCUGACGGAACAACGCCGCGUGAGUGAUGAAGGUUUUCGGAUCGUAAAGCUCUGUUGUUAGGGAAGAACAAGUACCGUUCGAAUAGGGCGGUACCUUGACGGUACCUAACCAGAAAGCCACGGCUAACUACGUGCCAGCAGCCGCGGUAAUACGUAGGUGGCAAGCGUUGUCCGGAAUUAUUGGGCGUAAGGGCUCGCAGGCGGUUUCUUAAGUCUGAUGUGAAAGCCCCCGGCUCAACCGGGGAGGGUCAUUGGAAACUGGGGAACUUGAGUGCAGAAGAGGAGAGUGGAAUUCCACGUGUAGCGGUGAAAUGCGUAGAGAUGUGGAGGAACACCAGUGGCGAAGGCGACUCUCUGGUCUGUAACUGACGCUGAGGAGCGAAAGCGUGGGGAGCGAACAGGAUUAGAUACCCUGGUAGUCCACGCCGUAAACGAUGAGUGCUAAGUGUUAGGGGGUUUCCGCCCCUUAGUGCUGCAGCUAACGCAUUAAGCACUCCGCCUGGGGAGUACGGUCGCAAGACUGAAACUCAAAGGAAUUGACGGGGGCCCGCACAAGCGGUGGAGCAUGUGGUUUAAUUCGAAGCAACGCGAAGAACCUUACCAGGUCUUGACAUCCUCUGACAAUCCUAGAGAUAGGACGUCCCCUUCGGGGGCAGAGUGACAGGUGGUGCAUGGUUGUCGUCAGCUCGUGUCGUGAGAUGUUGGGUUAAGUCCCGCAACGAGCGCAACCCUUGAUCUUAGUUGCCAGCAUUCAGUUGGGCACUCUAAGGUGACUGCCGGUGACAAACCGGAGGAAGGUGGGGAUGACGUCAAAUCAUCAUGCCCCUUAUGACCUGGGCUACACACGUGCUACAAUGGACAGAACAAAGGGCAGCGAAACCGCGAGGUUAAGCCAAUCCCACAAAUCUGUUCUCAGUUCGGAUCGCAGUCUGCAACUCGACUGCGUGAAGCUGGAAUCGCUAGUAAUCGCGGAUCAGCAUGCCGCGCUGAAUA